This 402-nucleotide ribosomal RNA is filed under the name uncultured bacterium. RNAcentral's name for it is "bacterial SSU rRNA". It matches the Rfam family "Bacterial small subunit ribosomal RNA", at positions 354 to 773 of the family's 1533-position model. The record is from RNAcentral.
GUGGGGAAUAUUGGACAAUGGGCGAAAGCCUGAUCCAGCCAUGCCGCGUGAGUGAUGAAGGCCCUAGGGUUGUAAAGCUCUCUCAGUGGGGAAGAUAAUGACGGUACCCACAGAAGAAGCCCCGGCUAACUUCGUGCCAGCAGCCGCGGUAAUACGAAGGGGGCUAGCGUUGUUCGGAUUUACUGGGCGUAAAGCGCACGUAGGCGGAUUGUUAAGUCAGGGGUGAAAUCCUGGAGCUCAACUCCAGAACUGCCUUUGAUACUGGCAAUCUAGAGUCCGGAAGAGGUGAGUGGAACUCCUAGUGUAGAGGUGGAAUUCGUAGAUAUUAGGAAGAACACCAGUGGCGAAGGCGGCUCACUGGUCCGGUACUGACGCUGAGGUGCGAAAGCGUGGGGAGCAAGC